Molecule: small RNA, 61 nt
Filed under: Lactobacillus acidophilus
Lineage: Bacteria; Bacillati; Bacillota; Bacilli; Lactobacillales; Lactobacillaceae
Description: crRNA_12
Source: RNAcentral
UGAUCCCAAUAUCAUCAGCAUUUUUCACACCAGAAAAUAAUUUUCUCCACGUAUGUGGAGG